UUAUGUGAAUAAAUAAACAUAUUCCUUUUACAUUAACUCCCUAUUAUGCUCAUAAGUUAUAUGAAACUUCCCCAGGAGCACUGUUAAAGUAUUUUGGAGGAGGCACUGACUCAGCCCAGGGGCAGUCCACCUCCUCAGGCUCAGCCAAGGAUAAUGAAUCAAGUCCAUCUCCAUCCUCCACUCCAUCCACUGUGCCCACUGUCUCCUCUAUUUCUGCUGCAACCUCAGCUGUACCUGGUCCAUCUCCAGCCUUUGCUCCAUCCACUGUGCCCACUGUCCCCUCUGUGUUGCAGUUUAUUUAAAACAAAAAAAUAAUAAAGCAGAUUGUGUUUACA
Non-coding RNA from Epinephelus lanceolatus (giant grouper), 335 nucleotides. Lineage: Eukaryota; Metazoa; Chordata; Actinopteri; Perciformes; Serranidae. The record is from RefSeq and is a predicted model, not a curated record.